Non-coding RNA from Acanthosepion pharaonis, 111 nucleotides. Lineage: Eukaryota; Metazoa; Mollusca; Cephalopoda; Sepiida; Sepiidae. The record is from the annotation of a GenBank genome assembly.
UACGGACAUAUCACUUUCAAAGACCGGUUCUCGUCCGAUCACUAAAGUUAAGUAACGUCGAACAUGGGCAUUACCUAGAUGGGUGACCGCUUGGGAAUACCAGGUGUUAUA